AGAAUCAACGCUGGCGGCGUGCCUAACACAUGCAAGUCGAACGAGAAAGUGGAGCAAUCCAUGAGUAAAGUGGCGCACGGGUGAGUAACACGUGACUAACCUACCCUGGAGUGGGGGAUAACUGAGGGAAACCUUAGCUAAUACCGCAUAAUACCUACGGGUCAAAGGAGCAAUUCGCUUCAGGAGGGGGUCGCGGCCGAUUAGUUAGUUGGCGGGGUAAUGGCCCACCAAGACAGUGAUCGGUAUCCGGCCUGAGAGGGCGCACGGACACACUGGAACUGAAACACGGUCCAGACUCCUACGGGAGGCAGCAGUGGGGAAUUUGCGCAAUGGGGGAAACCCUGACGCAGCAACGCCGCGUGGAGGAUGAAGUCCUUCGGGACGUAAACUCCUUUCGAUCGGGACGAUUAUGACGGUACCGGAAGAAGAAGCCCCGGCUAACUUCGUGCCAGCAGCCGC
This 459-nucleotide ribosomal RNA is filed under the name uncultured bacterium. RNAcentral's name for it is "SSU rRNA". It matches the Rfam family "Bacterial small subunit ribosomal RNA", at positions 26 to 518 of the family's 1533-position model. The record is from RNAcentral.